AAUUGCAGAGUUCACUCACCAUGCUGACGCUUUUGAUGGAAUCAGGCAACCUUAUUGACCUGGUGCCAUAAGACAUAUGAGAUGAUUGCCCUCCUGAGAACAUCUAACUGCCACUCCAGAAUGAGAUGAGUAAGUUCUAUCCUGUGAAACAGAGAAAGGGGUCAGAAGGACGCUGAGGAAAAGUGGCUUGGAUCCUCUGAUGGCCUUUGGUUACAUAAGAACCCGUGUGAUUCUCGUAUGGAGCAUCUCAGACAGCACUACAGCUCAGGCAGGUAAUCUGUCUGCCUUGUAGCUUGC
Mus pahari (shrew mouse) is the source of this 297-nucleotide long non-coding RNA. RefSeq lists it as uncharacterized. The record is from RefSeq and is a predicted model, not a curated record. NCBI's taxonomy places the organism in Eukaryota, Metazoa, Chordata, Mammalia, Rodentia, Muridae. The transcript has 3 exons.